Molecule: long non-coding RNA, 245 nt
Organism: Spodoptera frugiperda (fall armyworm)
Lineage: Eukaryota; Metazoa; Arthropoda; Insecta; Lepidoptera; Noctuidae
Exons: 3
Source: RefSeq, a predicted model, not a curated record
AGUAAGUUUGUCAGUCGUUUCGUGUAAUGUUAGCAAAGCAGUCUAGUGUGUUCAUAGACCACAGGUAAGAUACACGCUAGAUCAAUGCUGCGCACGAAAUGAUAACGUCCACUGUGAGCUUAGCUUCUAUUUUAUUAUGUAUAAUAGCGGUAUCAAGCUCAUCCCCGACAUCUCACCAUGGGGCAGUACCAUCACACCAGAAAUACUUUGAUAGUCCCAUCAAUAUACAGGUAUGUAUAAAUUAA